GCUAGUUCUACAGGUUUUAGGAGGUAUUCUUACCAUUAUAACCACCAUAACUAACCAUGUUCAGCUGAAGUACGGCACUUCCCCAGUAAGACUGGCAAGAGCAGUGUACAUCCCAUUCUAACCCCCAUAUUCUAGAAUGUCCUAGAACUCUACAAACACUCCACCUCAACUCAAGAAAGUAGAUGACAAUGCCUCCACUUGAUAAAAGUGGUCGCUGCACUUCAUUGACACUUCACAGCAAUUCUUGAGACGGGUGGCACUGUGCUCGACUCUGUGGACUGGAGGUUGACAAAGUUAAGGAUCGUUUAAGAAUACGGGGGUAAGUCUGCAGGCUUAACCUACAACUCCUUAACUUGUCAUUUUGUGAGCAUUAUAUGCUGUCCUAUCUGUGGCCCCAUUUCUGUGUACUAUCUCCUGUUGACUCUCUUGUCGGCAUAGUCUGUGAUUGCAAACGGUAAUUUUAUGUUUGCAAAUACAGAAGGUCAUGGCAGUUGGCUUGCCCACUGCGCUGGCUUUCCAGUUAAGUCUUCUUGCUGUUGUAGUUUCAACACCUGGCCAUGGCAACCACAUUACAUUGGGAGUGAAGCAUAAAAAUGGCUACAUACCCAGAUAUCAGUAUGCAUUAUAGACGUCAGGGAGCCAAUGAUCUAAAGUCUCCAUUGCAGUUCGCGUUAUAGUCUUAUGCCAUAGCUUUUGCAUAAAUGUAAGGCACUUUUCUUCAAAUUUUGAAAUAAUUUUUUGCCAACUUGUAAUGCUGUUCUUUAGGGAUGUGUAAAUAUUGCAAAAUUAUGAAUAGUUAGUUGAAUAACGCCUUAUUCAAUUCGGCCUUAGAAUUAAUUUGGCCAUCCCGGCAGACAUAGUAGACAUAAAACACAAGAAGUUAUGCAGUGGAACAUGCUAUACAUUGCUCAAGGAGCCACACUUUUCCUUUCUAAAUCGCUAUCGUUCACUCUCCAGAAAAUUCCGGGUGCGCGAAUAAACUCUGUAUUUCUUCCGAAAGCUCCAUUUGGCCUUUUAUAGGGCCCCUCACCAGGUACCAUUGCAAAUGUUAGUUAUGCACUGGAAGUGCUAAAACUGAUUGUUUCACCGAUAUAAUUUUUCUAGGCGGUCUAUUAUUGGAGGAGAUAGAAGAAAUUGAAUGCCCUCAUACUGCCAGGAGGCGAGUGCAGCUGCCCAACAGAGGCACUCUCUCCUAUUUGAGUAGCAUCUGCAAGCGAUGGACCACAUCGAGUUGACAGUACAAUGUGGCACAAGUUUCACUGGACACCAGCUAAGGGAACUGUUAUAGAACAUGGGGAAACCCUUAUGAACAAGAAAAUUAGUUUUGCAGGUAUACAGCUGCAAGUACAAGUUUCACAGCACAUGCCACAACAUGAUAGCUGCACUGCAGUUAACAACAGACGAUGACUUAUGCUGAUAUUCAUCAAUACCUACGACUUUGAAAGGAAUAAAGUGCGACCCAUGUGGAUAAUUUUCCAUGCAUGCCAUGAAAGUGGCACCACUGUUGCUGUGUGCGACACCUGCAUGCAGUAGAUAGCGCAGCUGCAGGAUAGUGCCAGAACAGCUCAGAUUUGCAGUGCUACUAUGGCCUACUAGAGCUGCCGCUCACCAAACUUUUGCAUGGAGACUCAUCUAUAUCUGCAGUAUCCUAAAAUAGGCUUUCUCAUGCGGUCCAAAAUUUUGUUGCAGUUGCCCUUUUAUUCACCCUGAAUGCACACCUCCACUUUUCAAACAGGUUUCCUGAUGAUGGGCUCAGAAAAUGUGGCACCUGCUGGAAUCUUCUGACCAAAUGGCUGAUUUCCUUGGCUUCAUUUACGUGAACUUGAACUCCAGUGGGUCAAGACAGGACGACCCAGGUUAAUGCGAACAUGUUCACAUGCAUUUCUACAAUUGGGCCGAGCGAGCCAGGCCGAUGCAAGCUGCCCCAACACUUUGUUGACCUGGAUAGAUAGCAUUUACAUGAACCCAAUAAUUGCAUUUCAGCUCGAAGCCGACUCGCCAUGGCAUUGUCGUGUUCGUGUAAAUGUAGUGCUUGUUACUACACCCACAGCAGGGAUUUGCCAAGAAGUCGGUAGUUUUAACCUGGUCUCAAAAACAAUAGUAACUGAAAUUGUCUGUCAAAAGUUGGAGACAGGAGGCAUUGGAAAAAUCUUUAUAUAUCGUAAUUUUGAGGAGUAAUACUUUCAGAGGAGAAACAAUGGAGACUUCCAAGAAUUGUCAAGCUUGUCUUGUGUGGGUACCUAUUGCUAGACACGGACCCUUUUCCUGGCAUCCUUCGAGUUCACCAGACCACAUCGAAUCGCCGUCGCACCCAAUUAAGGUGCGCAGAAGCAUGUCUAACACGUUCCCGGACCUGUCAGACAAGUGGGCGACUCCCACCUCGUGCGCUGCAUGUGGAGCUAUUGUCCCACUGCUUGACUCUUCCCGAAAGGGCAACGGGAGCCUGCACGGUUCCAGGUAGUUGAUCCUGGUCCCAAGCAAAGCUGCUUUGUAGCUUGGAAAGCUCGUUCGAAAACAACCCGUCUCCUCCAGCUGAGCGCUUUCAGACGGGGAUGCAACACCAAGGCAACGCCGGCUGUAAGUCACCGUGAAGCCCCCAAAGCCACACCAUCUGCCGAUUGUAACGGCAGUUGCAGACCUGGAGGCAAUACCGGUGGCAAGUCAUCCCUCGAACAGUGGAGCACUUGGAGCGACCCCCUGAGCCGAAUGUGACUGCACUUACACGGGCACCUACCAUUGGCCGAAAAUGACGACACCUGAGCGGGCUCCACGAUUGGCCAAAAGUGACGUGACCCCGAGACACCGAAGGGGUUAAAAGCUAGAGACAGGGAGCAGAAAGAAGCAUUCAUUCAUCCAUUCAUCUCUUUCGGGCUUCUUGCCGCAGGCCACAGCGUCCGAUUUGCUGCCGGCCAUCAAUGACUUUAUGACUGUUAAUUCAUGUUUUUACUGUAAAUAAUGUAAAUAAACCUCCUGUUUUCAACUCAAAA
Dermacentor andersoni is the source of this 2987-nucleotide long non-coding RNA. RefSeq lists it as uncharacterized. The record is from RefSeq and is a predicted model, not a curated record. NCBI's taxonomy places the organism in Eukaryota, Metazoa, Arthropoda, Arachnida, Ixodida, Ixodidae.